Molecule: ribosomal RNA, 407 nt
Filed under: uncultured bacterium
Lineage: Bacteria
Description: partial 16S ribosomal RNA
Rfam family: Bacterial small subunit ribosomal RNA
Source: RNAcentral
GACGAACGCUGGCGGCGUGCCUAAUACAUGCAAGUAGGACGCAGUUGCGAACGGGUGAGUAACGCGUAGGUAACUACCUAUUAGAGGGGGAUAACUAUUGGAAACGAUAGCUAAUACCGCAUACUAGUAGAUGGACCUGCGUUGUAUUAGCUAGUAGGUAGGGUAAUGGGCUACCUAGGCAACGAUACAUAGGCGAGCUGGGCAGGUGAGGCGACACACCUGGGAUGAGACAACGGCCCAACCCCUACUGGAGGCAGCAGUAGGGGAGCUUCGGAAAUGGGGGGAACCCUGACCGAGCAACGCCGCGUGAGAGAAGAAGGUUUUCGGAUCUUAAAGCUCUGUUGUUAAGGAAGCGGUACUUAACCAGAAAGGGACGGCUAACUACGUGCCAGCAGCCGCGGUAAUAC